This 475-nucleotide ribosomal RNA is filed under the name Discoporella sp. 3C-MMHD-2002. Its description in RNAcentral is "partial 16S ribosomal RNA". It matches the Rfam family "Bacterial large subunit ribosomal RNA", at positions 1835 to 2591 of the family's 2925-position model. Lineage: Eukaryota; Metazoa; Bryozoa; Gymnolaemata; Cheilostomatida; Cupuladriidae. The record is from RNAcentral.
CUCAGAAAUUAUUAAGAGUAUUGUCUGCCCAGUGACUGAUUGGUUUAACGGCCGCGUAUUAGUGCUAAGGUAGCAUAAUAAUUUGCCUUUUUAUUGAAGGCUAGUAUGAAUGGCAUAACGAAGCUUAACUGUCUCUAACUAUAUAAAAAAAAUUAGUAAAAAAGUGAAAAAACUUUUUUAUUAUUGAAGGACGAAAAGACCCUAUAGAGCUUUAAUAUAAUUAGUAAAUUAAGUUUAAAAAGAAAACUGUAUUAACCUAUAUAUUUUUAUUGGGGCAAUAGAGAAAAAAUUUAACACGUAAUUUUGUUAUAACAAACAAAAAAACCUCAAAGAGAAUAAAUAUAAGCUACCUUAGGGAUAACAGCGUAAUCUUACCAGAGAGACCUAAUCAAAGGAAAGGUUUACGACCUCGAUGUUGGACUAAGAAAACCUGGAGGUGUAGAAGCCUUUAAAAGUUGGCCUGUUCGGCCAUUAA